This is a long non-coding RNA of Salvia hispanica, 919 nucleotides long. RefSeq lists it as uncharacterized. The record is from RefSeq and is a predicted model, not a curated record. NCBI's taxonomy places the organism in Eukaryota, Viridiplantae, Streptophyta, Magnoliopsida, Lamiales, Lamiaceae.
UUCCUCAUCCUUUCUAGUUAUUAAGGCAGUAGGAUUCUACUUUGGUUAUAUUUACUGAAAUUGGUGAUUUAUGAGUAUUUUUCUAGCUACUUCAAAGAAGACUUGAUGGUGAAACAUACUAUUAGGCUAAGUGCUGUAAGUUCCAAGUUUGGGCAGAUUCUACUUGCAACUAUAUGAAUGCAAACUUGUACAUAUAUGAAAGAAAAGAAGGACUUGGUGUUUACCUGAUGAAAGCUACAAUUGUUUUGAAAAUCAGCUCCUAAAACUCAAACUCUCCUACUCUAAAUCUUGCUAUGUUGCUGAAAAUUUCUUGUGGUGUGUAGGAGAGUUCAUAAGUGGUGUUGGAGGGGGUUUUUAUAGGCUGAUUUUGUACCUUAGGAGGAGUUAAUGAGGCUGAUCUCCUUUUGUUUUUAUGCCCAGCAUAUCUCUUGUUUUUGAUCCUCAUUGCAGCCUUCUACUUGAAACAUUUUGGUGUUACUUGGAGUACUAAGUUUGACUAAUUAAUUCAUCUUGUUCUCACAUGCCCUCUUAGUACUUUAGUUCAUAACUCUCUUUGUUUGCAAGCUGCAGGAGCAUGUAGGGGUGGCAAAGCCAUUGGGUGGGAGCUGCUGCAGUUGAAAAGGGCUGACCUUGCCUUAUUUAGUAAAUUUUUUGGUCUACAACAAGAAGCUCUUAUAGGAGCUGCAAGAAAACUCGGCUGCUACCUUGCUGCCUUGGGCCCGAUGGGCUGCUUGAAACAGGCUAUGGUUCGGGCCUGGAGGAGAGGCCCGAAGUGCAUCAAAAUUUCCUCUUUUCUUUUCUCUGUUUUUUUAUAUGAAGCCUUUGAUCCAUGUAAUUUUUGAAGUUAGUUAAUAGUUUAUUGUGUAUGUAAUGCUAUUCGAAAUUCUUUAUAUUCCGUAACGUAUAUUAGUUUGUUUUA